UCCGAGUUGACCCCGGCAGUCUCCUAUGAGUCCCCGCCAUCACGCGCUGGCAACAUAGAACGAGGGUUGCGCUCGUUGCGGGACUUAACCCAACAUCUCACGACACGAGCCGACGACAACCAUGCACCACCUGUAUAGGACCCUUACGGACCUCGCAUCUCUGCGAGAUUCCCUAUAUGUCAAACCCAGGUAAGGUUCUUCGCGUUGCAUCGAAUUAAUCCGCAUGCUCCGCCGCUUGUGCGGGCCCCCGUCAAUUCCUUUGAGUUUUAACCUUGCGGCCGUACUCCCCAGGCGGAUAACUUAAUGCGUUAGCUGCGCCACCAAAAGCCUAAGGCCCCUGACAGCUAGUUAUCAUCGUUUACGGCGUGGACUAC
Molecule: unclassified non-coding RNA, 374 nt
Filed under: uncultured Actinomycetes bacterium
Lineage: Bacteria; Bacillati; Actinomycetota; Actinomycetes
Description: uncultured actinobacterium contains 16S-23S intergenic spacer region
Source: RNAcentral